CCUACGGGUGGCAGCAGUAGGGAAUAUUGCUCAAUGGGGGAAACCCUGAAGCAGCAACGCCGCGUGGAGGAUGACGGUUCUCUGAUUGUAAACUCCUUUUUUUAGAGAAGAUAAUGACGGUAUCUAACGAAUAAGCACCGGCUAACUCCGUGCCAGCUGCCGCGGUAAUACGGAGGGUGCAAGGGUUACUCGGAAUCUCUGGGCGUAAAGAGCGCGUAGGCGGGAUAGCAAGUCAGAGGUGAAAUCCUAUGGCUUAACCAUAGAACUGCAUUUGAAACUGUUAUUCUAGAGUAUGGGAGAGGUAGGUGGAAUGCUUGGUGUAGGGGUAAAAUGCGUAGAGAUCAAGAGGAAUACUCAUUGCGAAGGCGACCUGCUAGAACAUAACUGACGCUGAUGCGCGAAAGCGUGGGGAGCAAACAGGAUUAGAUACCCGGGUAGUC
This 440-nucleotide ribosomal RNA is filed under the name uncultured bacterium. RNAcentral describes it as "partial 16S ribosomal RNA". It matches the Rfam family "Bacterial small subunit ribosomal RNA", at positions 338 to 795 of the family's 1533-position model. The record is from RNAcentral.